AAAUGAAUCCCAUCACUGCCUAUGCCACCAUUAUCAACCCUUUCACUUUCCUGUAGCGACUAAGGUGCUGUUUUACGUAUUCGUGCGCGUGCACCAGGCAGGCACAUCCGUCUGUCCUCUGCUUUACGGACAGACAGUGCAGAUCCCUGCUUUUUUCCUUCAGCUUCAUCACUUCACUCUGUGUCUGUUCUGUGUUGCUUCACCAAUCUGAUCACUGUGCCCACCUGGAUGCCUGGCAACAGCCCCCCUCCCUCUCGCCCUCCCCUCGCCUACUCUCGUUGAAGCUAUUUCCGCAGGCACGGCUCUCCUUGACUCGCACGGUGACACUCGUUGUGCAGCUUGAAGAACUAUAUCGACACUCAUGCUGGCCGAGCACAGCUACGCUGAUGGCGAUGCCGACGCCCCAUCGCUCAUCUACCUGAGCGAGCCGCUGCCGUCCUCAGUCAAACCGCUGGGACUCUCCCUCGCCGCCUCUUCGCUCAACGCCACAGCGGCAACACCGGCGGCGGCGCCGUCUGCAUCGCCGUCGUUUCGCGUGCGUGCGAUGCACCUCGACGACGUCGCCGAGGACGUCAUCCUCGUUUGCGAGGACAGCAUCACCCUAUGUGUGCCGUUAACUUGGAGCGCUGCUGCGGCGGCGCCAGCUAGCUUGGAAAGACCUUCAAAGUCGGAGAAAGACAGGAUCGAGACUGCUCACGGCAACGCCGCUUGUUUAGCCCAAGACGCAGCAUCGACUACUGUGAUGCACCGUCGAAACUGCCCGCCGGAUGCGCGUGGUACACUUCUCUGCUUGCCUUCUCCCCAUACCCCGCCAGCAGCACAGUCUUCCACGCCCACUGCCAGUGCCGAAGCGGCUGCGGCGUGCCUACGCAUGGCGAAUCCUUCACAAGUGUGGACGGCCCCUCUCUCUGCCUCCUGCUGCACCACAGCAUCCACCAGCGGGCUCUGCCUACCGCGGCGUCUGCCCAUGCCGCACGAGGAGCUCCGUCGCUCGGCGUCGGUGCUGAUGGCUGUGCCGCUACCGCCACCAGAGGCACUGCCAUCGCCUGCUUCUUCGACCGGCCGCAGCGAGACACCAGGGCUGACAUCGGGGCCGUUGGCUGUCUCUGGUUAUGGUGCACUCACCGCGCCUCCGCCGGUUAUGGCAGUCUACAUCAUGGAGUGCCCCGUGCUGCGUGAAGGUGUGGACUGCAUAGCGGCAUCGGCUGUUCCGCUCGCGCGCCCACUAGCGAAGGUUGUAUGCUCCCCCAACACGCUGCGCUUCCGCGAAGCGUGGUACCCGAUGCAGUUCUUCUGCUGGUGCGACCGCAACAGGGCUCCAGCUGCUGCCUCGACGACGACGACAGCGGCAGCGUACGUUGACCACCACCUCCUCUGCGUUUCCUCGAUCGCUGUCGACCUUGUGCAGGUGCGCUGCCGAGUCAGCCUCGCACUCGCACCUCAGCCGCCUCAGCCCCCGCAAGCGUCCACGAAGCCCUCACCUCUGCUCUCGUUUGGAGGUGGUGGCACACAGGAGGACGGGCACAUCGAGCGAGAGCCGGUGCACAUCCCGCCCGCCUCUCCGGUGAGUGCGGCGACAGCGGCUUCGAUGACCUAUUCAUCAUCCAUGGCGUCUUCUGCUACUGCCGACAGCGUGUGCGAUGGGGCCGCGCUGGUGUCCAUAAGCGUGCUGCAGCGCUACGUCACGCGCUCGGACUGGUGCACCUACGAUGCACGAAGUCGUGUGCUGCUGAGCCUUAACCACGCUCGCCCGUCGGUGGUGAAGCCGAUCAAGGUGUAUGUGGGGCGAAGGGCGUCUUCGGUGUACCGCGAACCGAGAGCAAAGUCUAGCAGGGCAGCUGAGGCAAGUUCUGCGCCACUGGAGCUACGCACGUUGACUGAGUUGACAUUACCAGAGAGCCUCUGCGCUACCCUCCAUAUGCACUGCCCCGCAGGACACGGCACUGCCACCGGCGCUGCGCCCGCUUCUUUGUCGGAGCUGCCGCUGCCGCUUCUCCGGUGCCCGCAGGCGUCGCAGCAGCUCUCCUCGGUGCUGGGCGUGCUGACGAUCUACGGGCAAUCUUUUUUAUACCACGUGUCCUCCGGCCGCGGCACCAUCGGCGGCCGACAGGACCCGGUGAUGAACCUGUACAUGCACGUCCCCUCCAAAGAGCACGGGCGCCAGCCCUUGUCCGGCAUGUCGCAGACCGAGAGGGCACUGAGUAGCGGAGUUGCCGGUGCUGGCGCAUCAGCGUCGGCUGCGGAAGCAGCGCAUAGCGACUCACUCUUGAGUCGACUUACGGCGGCGGCGUCGUUUGCCGCGGCCUCUGCGCCGCCGUCCAAGUUGUGUGGCGGCGUGUUUGUUCACGCUGCGCGGCUGUCCUUGACUGCGGUAAUCUCACGUGCGUCUCGCGACUCUCAAGCGUCUGCGCAAGACCCGUUGUCGGGUGCCGUAGGGGCUGACGCGCUUGCCGCGCCGUUGGCGCAGCUGCCGGGCUUAGUCUCCUUCUGCGUACAGGUGGUGGACAACCUCAUCGUGAUUCACUCCCCAGACACGGCUCGGUCGGCUGUGUACGACCUGGCAGACUGCGGCAGCAGCAGCGUGUCUCCCAUGAGCGCCGCUACCGCUUCUCGCAACGCAAGGAACAGCACGCUGGCGCGGAGCUAUGUGUGGAAGGCGGUGACCUCAGGCACCAUUGGCGCGGGGGUGCGGGCGCGUAAGCCUGCCGCUGCUUCAGCGCACUAUUCUUCUGAGCCGGCUCCUUCGUUGGGAGCUGGAGGGGGUGCGACUUUGGGCUCACAGGGGAUGGCAAACAGCGGUUUUGGUUACUCCCGGCUCUCUCGGCCGCACCACCACAGCGGCAGCAGCAUCACUGACAACGUCGACGACGCCUCCGCUUCAACGUCACGCUCACCGCUGCUACCGUCACCAACAGCGUCUCAUCCGCCAACUGCCGCCUUUAGCGCCGCGCAGGCCGCCGCCGCCGACUCACUAGCGGCUGAGCACCAGCACCGGCGCGACCGUUCGCGUCAUAGGAAAGUGGCAUUGCAGCACCAAGCUCCAUCGGCCGACUUUACAUCUAUGCUGUCCGUGUUGAGCAGCUCAAUGCUGGCGAUGACCGCGUCGGAUCCUACCACCGACGCUGCCGCUGCCGCAUCUGCCGUACCGUUGAUGUACCCGCUGUACUGCUGCGGUGCCGCUGCAGCGGUGGAGGGCUGUGAAGAGGGAGGUGCAGACGGCAGCGGAGGUGCGCCGAGGGACAGUGAGCCGGUCGUCUACAGCGACUAUCAGUGGCUGGCGGGUCCGCGGCUACCACUGGUGAUGAAGGCAUCGGACGGAACGCUGCGCGUGUGCCGUGUAGACGCCGCGCGGGUGGCGGCGUGGCGUCUGCUUGUGGACUUCAGCGACGAGAGCGACCGCGCCAGCCAGGAUCCUUUCUCGCCGCAGCAGGAGCAGGGCCUCGAUGUAAACACCUUGAAUGGCGAAGCAGCGGCUUGGCUUGUCCGCUCCUACGUGAGCUUCCUGUGCCGGCGCUAUCAGGUGUUUUCGGCUCGCUCGACCAACGACCGCAGCACCAGCAGCGUGCACGCUCUUGUCGGCCUUCUAGGUGAGCUCACCGUCCAGGCGGUGGGGUUGGAGGGUGAUGACGGUGACGGCAACGGCGCUGGAGUGUCCCGGACGGGCCCAUCUGAGUACUCCAAGGUGGAUGCGUUGCGACAUCUUCUGUGCAUGGCCACAGCAUCGACACCGGGCGUCGCAGGCAAGCAGUUGUACACUCUAUGGACGUGCAUGCUGGAGAACCUCACACUCGAAACCGCGUUUUCUGCCCGUUGCGUCGCGGUGGAGCGAGAGCGCUCUUUGGCCCUCGCAGGAGGGGCCGACGGUGCCGAUGUUGCGCGUGCAACCCGCUCUGUGGCAUCUGGUGAGCUCCUCAUCAGCUCCGCUGAGCUGCAGCAGCUCAUUUUACAGAAGGUGUUUGCUCCUACUUGGUUAGCCCUUCAGUCAUCUUUGCUAUGCCACCCCCAACAGCAGCAACAGCCUCAGAGGCGGCGCCAACUCGAGGGACUCCUCUGCGAUUAUGUGCGGCUCCUGCACAGCGCCGCCAUUCCAGUGGAGCCGCCCCUCCAGCACUUGCUUCUCGAGAUGGUUCUUAGCGACGUGGGAGACACUCCAGCGAGUCUGUUUAUGGCUUCUCAAUCGCCAUCCGCCUGCAGCGCUGCGCGUCGUGUGCAGGAGCUGCUGCGACAAGGGGUACUGGAGCAAAACGAGGCCACGGCGCGCUGGCUGCUGGAUUGGUGGGGCGCAUCUCAGGAGGUGAGAGCAUCGAUGCGGCGCAUCGACGCAGCUGAUGCGAGUGCGCGUCGCCUCAACGCGGGCGAGCCCUCAGCGGAGCGUCGCGCUGAGCCGUCAGGUGCAGUGGCCUCUGCUCCCACAUCCCCGGCCGCGGCGACGCCAACGGCACAGCAAAGUGAGGAUGUGCCGUUCUCUCCUUUCUGCCCCGGUGAAGACGCGGAGGAGACGGAGAUUCUCUUUGGGGAGGCGGUGCGUCUUCUUGAGGCGCAUGGCUUCUUACUGGAGGUCGCGGAGGCGUACAGCUGUCGCUCCCACUUCACCGCUGCCGCAGCGGUGUUGCAGCGCGUUCCACAGCAGAGUAAGCUCGCUGAGGUGCCCGCGGUUACACUAUCGUCGGUGCUGUCGCACCGUCGGCAGACACGCGUGCUGUCGUGGGACUCCCUAGCUCUCUCCGUGCUGGAUGGCGCGUGGCGGUGUGUGCGUUGGGCGGAGGAGGCGCUCUUCAACGCCGGCGGUGCCGCCGUCGUAUCCCAGCACCAGCUUACCGCAUCGGAUUUCGCCUCGAACCCACUGAAGUCUUGGCGAACGCGCUCGCUGGAGCGACAAGUUCAAGCCGCGCAUCGCGUGUACAUCACCGUGGCAAGGAAACUGCUGGUAAGUCUGACGGCUAGCGCGUUGUCGCCUUCGUCAGCAAGCAAGGCAGCGCAUCCUAGCCAGGGUUCCCUCGCUGCGACCACUUCGCCUAAUGUCGACGGCCGGUUCCACGUGCACGAAAUACACUACGAGCAGCUGCUUCGCCAGAUGGAGCAGGGCUGGCACGAGCUAAAGCAGCGAGGCGGAGCAUGACGGAUGCGGAUGGGUGUCGCGGCAGCUGUGCCUCUGUGGGCGUUGUUGCCCGCGUGGUGCUCCUCGACUUUGCGCAUGCUCUCACUGAAUCAUCAACAUGUGCCCGCGAAGAAAGGGGGGAAAGGAUGAAGAGCCGAGCAGGAAAGCCCCACCGCGUCGCCACGUGCACUGCGCCAGCAGUGAUGGACAGAAAACGGAGGGUUUGAGGGGCGGAGGGGAGAUCAAGUCUCGCUGAGGCCCGGGGUGGUGGUGGUGGGCGCGUGCGCGCGGGUCGAUGUCUGUGAUGGCGUCUUUUCGCACACUUGACGCUAGCGGCAGACGAAAGGCAACGCGAGUCGAGUGCGGCCCGCUGCCAAGGCACAGCAUCGUCGUCCUCUGUCCUCCGCCUCCGUCUUCGUCUUCCCUACUCUCGCACCACCAAGCAGAUGAACAUGGAAAGAACGGGCUGGAGGGACAGCAGCCAUCAUACACCGCUGCGGUACAUUCACCUCCGGUAUGGUGGUGGUGGUGAUGGGUAGCCCUCACUCCACUCUCUUGCACCCGCUUCGCCUGGCAUCGACGCCCCGGCUCCAGUACAUGCAUUGCCCUCCCUCCUCCCAUACACGAACAUGGCGCUGGAAUAUGCGACAGGCAUGCAUGACGCUGAAGUAUACCCCUCUCCCUUUGGGGGGUGGGUGGGACCGACCGCACUGCCGCGCUUAUUUUUGCAGUCCUCUCUGCGUGCGUGCUCGCUCUCUCCGGCACCCCAGCUUGCCCGUCUUUGCACCCCCGCCUCUCUCACCCUUCCUUGGCUGAGCCCCAAGCCGCGGUGCCAGGCGGCGCCCAGCUGUGUGUGAUAGGACCGGCUGGAGCCCGGCUUUUCAAUACGUGGUCGCCGUGCCUGCCUCUUCGAGUGCGGUGUGCAUGCCAGAGCGCAGUCUCCCGCACGGUGACCCGCGGAGGUGCAGCGGAAUGCUCGAUAUGGGCGGUGAAUCCGCCCCCAUCGACCCCCAACGAUUCUAUGACUGGGAGGUGGGCAUUGGCGUGCCGCCGUUAGUCGGCAGCUUCGGGCUCGAAGUUCUGCGUGGCCGACGAGAACGAAUACCCGCCAGACGAGGAGGCCAACAUCCGCGUCCGGUGGCAGCCGCUCUGCGACGUGCUCCUGCGAUUCAGGACCUCUUUGGUGAGGCCUAGGGCAGGGCUGUGGAGGAGGCGCUGCUGUCUAUCGAAGUCCAAGGGAGAGAGGGGUUGCAGCCGCAACACAGCGGCGUGUGUGCAUUCAUCGGGUGCCUCGCCCUUGUCGUUGUGGCCGUCUCGCGCUGCCUUUUUGUGUCUUUCUCCCUUUUCUCGUGGCGAGAGAGGAGGACCACGGGGCCGCGCCCUUUCACUAUCCGCGGCCUGCUGCUCCUCGCUUUUCUCCUUUGCCGCGCCCACGCUCAGUGCUGCCGUCUUCUUGGCUAUGCCCGGUGCGGCGCGCGUGCUGCGAGAAGGUUGCAAGGGCAGAGACGGCUCUCCCGAUGUGCGCUCUCGGGCACGCACACACGCACACACACAGAGAUGCACACGCACCUCUCUAUAUCUAUACAGGCACACACCCUCUUUC
Molecule: unclassified non-coding RNA, 6701 nt
Filed under: Leishmania donovani
Lineage: Eukaryota; Euglenozoa; Kinetoplastea; Trypanosomatida; Trypanosomatidae
Description: gene:LdHU3.17.0790(CDS-product:hypothetical_prote in_conserved)
Source: RNAcentral